Molecule: unclassified non-coding RNA, 262 nt
Filed under: Hevea brasiliensis (rubber tree)
Lineage: Eukaryota; Viridiplantae; Streptophyta; Magnoliopsida; Malpighiales; Euphorbiaceae
Source: RNAcentral
GUACAACCAUACCAAGUAUCCUAGCAACAGUCACUUCAGUCAGCGGCAAAAAUAAGGAUAACAUUUCUUUGCAUUGCAAGAUAGAAGCAGUGCAACCAUAACCCAAUUCCUUCAUGAUGUCUGCAAUGCUCAUUUCUUUCUCCAUAUCUGCCAAAAGAACAUCAAAAUCAUCUUCACCGUCGUCAUUUAAGAAAUCUAAGUUCCUCAAAAAAUUAGCUUCAUGAAAUUCAUCAGAUAGCAAUGGAGUUAAAAUGAACUGGGC